AGCAGCUUGGCGCAGUGGAAGCGCGGUAUGUUUACUCAUUCACACGAAAUUCAAAUUCGUACUAACUCUCCUCAGCCGGGCUCAUAACCCGGAGGUCACUGGAUCGAAACCAGUAGCUGCUA
This 122-nucleotide transfer RNA is filed under the name Fusarium graminearum. Its description in RNAcentral is "tRNA-Met (CAT) (tRNA-Met-CAT-5-1)". The record is from RNAcentral. Lineage: Eukaryota; Fungi; Ascomycota; Sordariomycetes; Hypocreales; Nectriaceae.